This 23-nucleotide non-coding RNA is filed under the name Mus musculus (house mouse). The record is from RNAcentral. Lineage: Eukaryota; Metazoa; Chordata; Mammalia; Rodentia; Muridae.
UAUUGCCCGGAAGCUGUGUGAGC